UAUCAGAAGUGCGAAUGCUGACAUAAGUAACGAUAAAGCGGGUGAAAAGCCCGCUCGCCGGAAGACCAAGGGUUCCUGUCCAACGUUAAUCGGGGCAGGGUGAGUCGACCCCUAAGGCGAGGCCGAAAGGCGUAGUCGAUGGGAAACGGGUUAAUAUUCCCGUACUUGGUGUUACUGCGAAGGGGGGACGGAGAAGGCUAUGUUGGCCGGGCGACGGUUGUCCCGGUUUAAGCGUGUAGGUGUGUGUUCCAGGUAAAUCCGGUUCACUUUAACACUGAGGCGUGAUGACGAGGCACCACGGUGCUGAAGCAACAAAUGCCCUGCUUCCAGGAAAAGCCUCUAAGCAUCAGGUAACAUCAAAUCGUACCCCAAACCGACACAGGUGGUCAGGUAGAGAAUACCAAGGCGCUUGAGAGAACUCGGGUGAAGGAACUAGGCAAAAUGGUGCCGUAACUUCGGGAGAAGGCACGCUGACACGUAGGUGAAGUGAUUUACUCAUGGAGCUGAAGUCAGUCGAAGAUACCAGCUGGCUGCAACUGUUUAUUAAAAACACAGCACUGUGCAAACACGAAAGUGGACGUAUACGGUGUGACGCCUGCCCGGUGCCGGAAGGUUAAUUGAUGGGGUCAGCGCAAGCGAAGCUCCUGAUCGAAGCCCCGGUAAACGGCGGCCGUAACUAUAACGGUCCUAAGGUAGCGAAAUUCCUUGUCGGGUAAGUUCCGACCUGCACGAAUGGCGUAAUGAUGGCCAGGCUGUCUCCACCCGAGACUCAGUGAAAUUGAACUCGCUGUGAAGAUGCAGUGUACCCGCGGCAAGACGGAAAGACCCCGUGAACCUUUACUAUAGCUUGACACUGAACAUUGAGCCUUGAUGUGUAGGAUAGGUGGGAGGCUUUGAAGCGUGGACGCCAGUCUGCGUGGAGCCGACCUUGAAAUACCACCCUUUAAUGUUUGAUGUUCUAACGUGGACCCGUAAUCCGGGUUGCGGACAGUGUCUGGUGGGUAGUUUGACUGGGGCGGUCUCCUCCUAAAGAGUAACGGAGGAGCACGAAGGUUGGCUAAUCCUGGUCGGACAUCAGGAGGUUAGUGCAAUGGCAUAAGCCAGCUUGACUGCGAGCGUGACGGCGCGAGCAGGUGCGAAAGCAGGUCAUAGUGAUCCGGUGGUUCUGAAUGGAAGGGCCAUCGCUCAACGGAUAAAAGGUACUCCGGGGAUAACAGGCUGAUACCGCCCAAGAGUUCAUAUCGACGGCGGUGUUUGGCACCUCGAUGUCGGCUCAUCACAUCCUGGGGCUGAAGUAGGUCCCAAGGGUAUGGCUGUUCGCCAUUUAAAGUGGUACGCGAGCUGGGUUUAGAACGUCGUGAGACAGUUCGGUCCCUAUCUGCCGUGGGCGCUGGAAGACUGAGGGGGGCUGCUCCUAGUACGAGAGGACCGGAGUGGACGCAUCACUGGUGUUCGGGUUGUCAUGCCAAUGGCACUGCCCGGUAGCUAAAUGCGGAAAAGAUAAGUGCUGAAAGCAUCUAAGCACGAAACUUGCCCCGAGAUGAGUCUUCCCUGAGACCUUGAGUCUCCUGAAGGAACGUUAAAGACGAUGACGUUGAUAGGCCGGGUGUGUAAGCGCAGCGAUGCGUUGAGCUAACCGGUACUAAUGAACCGUGAGGCUUAACCUUACAACGCCGAAG
This 1679-nucleotide ribosomal RNA is filed under the name Salmonella enterica. Its description in RNAcentral is "partial 23S ribosomal RNA". It matches the Rfam family "Bacterial large subunit ribosomal RNA", at positions 1280 to 2925 of the family's 2925-position model. Lineage: Bacteria; Pseudomonadati; Pseudomonadota; Gammaproteobacteria; Enterobacterales; Enterobacteriaceae. RNAcentral also lists the same sequence under 4 other names. The record is from RNAcentral.